Non-coding RNA from Danio rerio (zebrafish), 2378 nucleotides. Lineage: Eukaryota; Metazoa; Chordata; Actinopteri; Cypriniformes; Danionidae. The record is from RefSeq and is a predicted model, not a curated record.
CACAUUUUAUACCUAAAACUACAUGAUAUAUAAAGAUGUGUACAUCAGAUAUGUUUUCUAUUAUUGAAUUUCGUCAAUGCAAGAUGAGUUGGAUGAUUUAUCAAAAAUGAAUCCAUGUUAUUCUGGUCGAGAUCUUGACAGAAUCAUAUUUUAGUUUUUAUUCUCUCUCUCCUCUGGCUGAACAUGAACAUGUUGAUACACUUAUUGACCACAAGAGGGAGCUCAUAUUUCUUAUCUGCCUAAUACACAUUAUUUAUUAACAUGCCAAUAUUUACAUUUCAUCAAGUAUAAAAAUGUCAACAUGAAUGUCGUUUUGGAAUAUAGUCAAUAAUAGUUGAAAUCUCUUGCGGUAGAAACUGCAGUUUUCCAUCCACUCCACUAGGCGGCAGAAGCAAUGCUCAGCUCGACUCAACACGAAUCAGGUGGGAAGACGUAGAACUUCAGAUGACAGCAGCACGCUCGUCAUGACAACAAUAAGGGAUGUGUUUGGACCGUACAGUCAACAGAAGCAGAGCUCCAGGACGUUUGGACUACAUUUACUGGCGUGAUGGACGUCUGCUGCGGACAGGAAAAGAACACAGAAGUGAAGACGGUGUGAUCAAGACUGAACACAGACAAAGGCAGUAUCCCCGAGUUAGAGGAGAUCAUGAUCACACACUUGAAGCUGAGGAUCACCAUCAAAUGCAGAUCUAAACAUCACACUCUGACAGAUAUUACAAUUAAUAAUUCAGAAUUAUACACAUUUACAGCCUAAAUAUUGCCUGUGCAAGCUCUAGAAACACAGCAGAACAUCAGAGCUUCACAAACUGACUUGUUAACACAUAUUAUGUCUUGUUCUGCUUUAUAAUGAGAGGCUGUUUAACUCUGAGCCUUUACAUAUUAAACAGCAACUACCAAUUCAUUUGCUCCUAAAUGUCUGACAGUGACAGAGAGCAGCAUGUAAACAAAGCUGUUUAACAAACAGGAGAGCUCUGCUUAAACAUAUCACUAAAGACACUUCAAUAAGUGCUAAACAUGAACUUAACUGCGACUGAAGUACAAAGAAUAAAGACUUAAUGAGGAAAUGCAGGAGAAAUACUGUACAGUUACUUACAGAUGAGUCGCUUUUCACUGCAUUCAUGUCCUUUAUCUCAGCGUGUGUCGGAUAUUUUAGUUGUCGGACUGCAUUAAAUGUUGUUUAGUGACAUUAAAACACUGUCGCUGAGCUGUCAUCUUCAGUUUAUGUGUUUAAAACUGCACACUCGUGCUGCUGCUGCACCAAAACAAACGUCACACUGUCAACAUCCGGAAGCUCUGGGUCAGACUGAACGGGAAGUCGCGCGCGCCGCCUGGUGGAGCGGAUGGAGAACUGCACUAGAGUCCCUAACAGGACGAGUUACAGCGUUAAAGCCUCGUUUAUUUAAAGUCUGAUAAGUCAUUUAAACUCCAAAUAUGCAUAAUUUAAAAUGUAGACAUCCAGACAUUAUAAUGCAUCUAUUAGGUAGGUUAUUAAAUAGCUCAAUGUCAAGUGCCAAAUAAGUCAAGAUGUGGUCGUCAGCGCCCUCGUGUGGGCAUGAAUCAGUGUUGUUCAGAUCAUGAGCUCGUGGUGUUCAGUCGCAGAUGACUUCUGUUGGAAUGGAUCUACACUGAUGUCUGUUUUAGACUCCAGUCCUGGGGACCAACAGAGCUCCACAUUUUACAUGUUUCUCUUAUCAAAUACACACAGGUUCCUGAAAACAGGUUGUGAAUCAGGGUCCGUAUUCACAAAACUUAUCUUCUCCUCAACAUCGGAAAAAGUUUUAAGCUAAGAGUUUUCUUUUACAACUUAUUCACAAAGCUGCAGAUUCAAAGGUUUACUGGAGAGAAGUCUUGAGCUAAGAUUGAGGCCGGGGUUCAGCCCAUUGCUAUGGAUGAUGUCAGCAUGCUUGUUAACUAUGCACACAGUGAUUGGACGAUAAGCAGGGGAGGAGUCUCUGUCAGAAAUGUGUUGAUAGAAACUUUGCAGAGGACAAUAUCAUGUGGUUGUAUUCAAAUAAAGGUUUUAAAAUGAUACAUUAAAUAGAAAUGAAUUGCUUUGAACUAUUCAAAUUAAUUGAAUUGCUCUACACCUACAGGUUGAAAUGGUGUAACUGCCAAUAAGAACACAGUCCAAACAUCAAUGAAUCAAUUUAAUUGAAUCAAUUGAAUUGAUUCAUUGAAUUUGACCGCUGUAAAUGCUUCAAAUCAAUCGAACUGGUUCAAAGAAAAUAAUCAUAAAGCCUAAUGAAGCUGUUUUUCAAAAUCACUCUCACUAUAUACUGUAUAAGAGCUUGUAACUGACCUGUGUUCAGUCUUGAUCACACCGUCUUCACUUCUGUGUUCUUUUCCUAUUAAUAAAAAAACAAAGAAACAUUAAAAAA